CAACCGGGAUUCCCUUAGUAGCGGCGAGUGAAGCGGCAAAAGCUCAAAUUUGAAAUCUGGCACCUUCGGUGUUCCGAGUUGUAAUUUUGAAGAUUGUAACCUUGGGGUUGGCUCUUGUCUAUGUUUCUUGGAACAGGACGUCACAGAGGGUGAGAAUCCCGUGCGAUGAGAUGCCCAAUCCUAUGUAAGGUGCUUUCGAAGAGUCGAGUUGUUUGGGAAUGCAGCUCUAAGUGGGUGGUAAAUUCCAUCUAAAGCUAAAUAUUGGCGAGAGACCGAUAGCGAACAAGUACAGUGAUGGAAAGAUGAAAAGAACUUUGAAAAGAGAGUGAAAAAGUACGUGAAAUUGUUGAAAGGGAAGGUUUGAGAUCAGACUCGAUAUUUUGUGA
RNAcentral lists this ribosomal RNA (386 nucleotides) under uncultured Saccharomycetaceae. RNAcentral describes it as "eukaryotic LSU rRNA". It matches the Rfam family "Eukaryotic large subunit ribosomal RNA", at positions 66 to 448 of the family's 3401-position model. Lineage: Eukaryota; Fungi; Ascomycota; Saccharomycetes; Saccharomycetales; Saccharomycetaceae. The record is from RNAcentral.